GAGUGAGGGACAGAGAGAGAAUAUUUUGAGACCUAGCAUUUCUGGAAGGAAUACAUUUUGAGUGAACAAAUAUCUUGCCUGACCUUUUUGUGCUCAGAAGAUGUUUUGGAAAUGGACUUCAUAUCAAAUUUUAGCUCAUCUGUAGCAACGACUGAGUUUUAGCCAUGUUUAAUAGGGCUGCACGAUAUUGGAAAAGCUCGCAAUGGUGAUAAUAUUUGAAAAUGAUGCAAUGACGAUAACAGCGCUGAUCACCCACACCUAUGUGCCUUGGACUUCAAGCCUCUCACCAGUUUCUCAUGCGCUGCCUCCAACAACUCACUGUAAAUAUCCACGCACCUGUAAAUACUCACUUUGGGAAUCCUACCUUUUGUGGACCAACUCCUCCGUGCUUCAUCUCCUUCCCCAAACCGUCCAGACCCCAGAUCC
This is a long non-coding RNA of Austrofundulus limnaeus, 426 nucleotides long. RefSeq lists it as uncharacterized. The record is from RefSeq and is a predicted model, not a curated record. The transcript is spliced from 3 exons. Lineage: Eukaryota; Metazoa; Chordata; Actinopteri; Cyprinodontiformes; Rivulidae.